RNAcentral lists this ribosomal RNA (539 nucleotides) under Betta coccina. Its description in RNAcentral is "partial 16S ribosomal RNA". It matches the Rfam family "Bacterial large subunit ribosomal RNA", at positions 1856 to 2597 of the family's 2925-position model. Lineage: Eukaryota; Metazoa; Chordata; Actinopteri; Anabantiformes; Osphronemidae. The record is from RNAcentral.
CGCCUGCCCUGUGACAAAAGUUUAACGGCCGCGGUAUUUUGACCGUGCAAAGGUAGCGCAAUCACUUGUCCUUUAAAUGAAGACCUGUAUGAAUGGCAUCACGAGGGCUUAACUGUCUCCUUUUUCCAGUCAAUGAAAUUGAUCUCCCCGUGCAGAAGCGGGGAUAAGACCAUAAGACGAGAAGACCCUAUGAAGCUUUAGACACAAGACAGAUCUUGUUAAACACUUCAAAAUAAAGAAAUAAACUUAAAGACUCCUGUUCCGAUGUCUUUGGUUGGGGCGACCACGGGGAAACAAAAAACCCCCAUGCGGACUGAGAAAACAAUUCUCACAACCAAGAGCCACAGCUCUAGUUAACAGAAUUUCUGACCUUUAGAUCCGGCAAUGCCGAUCAACGGACCGAGUUACUCUAGGGAUAACAGCGCAAUCCCCUCUUAGAGCUCCUAUCGACGAGGGGGUUUACGACCUCGAUGUUGGAUCAGGACAUCCUAAUGGUGCAGCAGCUAUUAAAGGUUCGUUUGUUCAACGAUUAAAGUCCU